AAGUCGUAACAAGGUCUCCGUUGGUGAACCAGCGGAGGGAUCAUUAACACGUAUCCACGUAUACACCAAACGCGAACUCGGAGGCUGAUCUUGAUGCAUUAACUUGUGUCAAGUGAAGUCACCAUUCUCCCUAUGCAUGUACAGUCGUGAAUUCAUUCAGCUCGUGGUGGGAGUUGCUUGCAACUCAGCUGGUGGUUUGCACAGAAGUCGCAAGACUUCUAGGCUGUCAUGUCUAGGCUAAUUUUUCCACCACGGAUACCAACCAAUAUAACCUUUUUUAUUCCAGUUUGACUGAUGUUUUGAUAUGUUUAACGACAUGUCAACCAUGUAUAUCAAAUGCAAAGCACAACUCUUAGCAACGGAUAUCUUGGUUCUC
This 376-nucleotide unclassified non-coding RNA is filed under the name fungal sp. RNAcentral's name for it is "partial internal transcribed spacer region". The stretch from base 1 to 46 matches the Rfam family "Eukaryotic small subunit ribosomal RNA", at positions 1786 to 1831 of the family's 1831-position model. Lineage: Eukaryota; Fungi. The record is from RNAcentral.